UCUGGGUUCAGGCCAUUCUCCUGCCUCAGCCUCCCGAGUAGCUGGGAGUAGAGGCGCCCGCCACCACACCUGGCUAACUUUUUGUAUUUUUAGUGGAGAGGGAGUUUCACCGUUUUAGACAGGAUGGUCUCGAUCUCCUGACCUCCUGAUCCACCCGCCUCUGCCUGCCAAAGUGCUGGGAUUACAGACGUGAGCCACCGCGCCCGGCUGUUUUCUUUUUUUUAACAGUAGGAAAACACAAGCGUGAAGCCUCCAUUUGGGAAGCCUGCAGAAGCCCCAAUCCAAUCACAGCACUGCCAGAGGAUCUUAGAAGUUGAAUAUCAAUUUAAUAACACAUCCUGUUUGGUAAGAGAUUGGGUUCUAACUAUAUUGCCCAAGCUAGAUUCAAACUCUUGGGCUCAAGUGAUCCUCCUGCCUAAGACUCCUUAGUAGCUUGGAACUUCAGAACCAUCUGUCAAUGGCUACUUCAUACUUUAGAUGCUCCAAGAGGAAAAAGUCAUUUCAGAAUUGUAUCCAUAACCCAGUUUCAUUGAAGAUGGAGUCUUCCUUCAGAUUUUCUACAUAGACAAUUAUACCUCUGUGAACAAAGACAGUUUAUUUCUUCCUUCCCACACCCUGCCACACUUCCUCCUGCUCCAGCAAUGUAAAACGUGCCUGCUUCCCCUUCACCUUCCACGUGACUGCAAGUUACCUGAUGCCUCUUUCGCCAGCUUUCUGUACAGCCUGCAGAACCAUGAGGAAUCACACCCCUUUUCUUUACAAAUUACCCAGUCUCAGACAUUUCUUUAUAGCAAUGCAAGAAUGGACUAAUACAGUAUCUGUGUAAAAUGGAGAUGUUUCCUAAGAAAGAAUAAACUCCUUUUGGUAUAAGUUAUGUGACUACAAGCAUACUUGGAUAUCUUAAUAUUUAAUCUGGGCCAGACAUACCUUGAUGUGGCAAGAAAGUAGCUGGAGAACUGUGUUGGUAGUCCUGGGGCUCUUCCUGCUUCUAUUGUUACCCAA
RNAcentral lists this long non-coding RNA (1002 nucleotides) under Homo sapiens (human). RNAcentral's name for it is "HSALNT0011662". Lineage: Eukaryota; Metazoa; Chordata; Mammalia; Primates; Hominidae. The record is from RNAcentral.